GGCGGAAAACCUGAAAAGUAGUAGUUAAGGAUGUAAAAGUUAAAGAUUUAGAAAAGAACAAUACCAAGGUAUAAUACAGUUUCAAGUAAAGAGUAGUUAUAUUACCAAAUGCUUCAGAGACGGAAACAAAGAGAAAACUAAAGAACACUGAAAAAGACCUCUGAAUUUGACAGCUAGAAGGUCAGUGACCUUGGUGAAAGAAGCCUGCUGGAGGAGUGGAGUCAAAUAUCUGUCCCCAAGAGGUGAUGAGAACCCACCAGAUAAUGGGAAAAUUCCAGUAAAAGAAUUGAUCCUUUGAUCAGCAAAAUCAGCUCAGUUAAGCAAGGAACCACAUGGACUUCUGGAAAGGUGAUGUCAGAAGGAACU
Choloepus didactylus (southern two-toed sloth) is the source of this 366-nucleotide long non-coding RNA. RefSeq lists it as uncharacterized. The record is from RefSeq and is a predicted model, not a curated record. The transcript has 3 exons. Lineage: Eukaryota; Metazoa; Chordata; Mammalia; Pilosa; Megalonychidae.